UCUAAGAUAUGCAAGUGUUUAUCUAUGGGAUCCUUUCGUCCAUAGAGCCUACAAAUCCUUUUUCAAAGGCUCAAGAUACAUGUGUACAUAUAUAUAUAUAUAUGAGUAUACUUUCUAAAUUUUCAUUGUUUAUGUGUGUAGUAUUCACAUGAUGGUUGAGAUAUAUGUGUGGGAUGAUUAUGUGUGUUGGUUGAAGUAUAUGUGUGUAGUAUUUGUGUGAUGGUUGGUGAUUAUGUUGUUGAACUUGAUGAUAUCCAAGAAGGGAUCUUUGUAUGUUUGUGAAAACUAUGGUGGUGUGUGAUGUAUAAAUAUAUGAAAUGGUGAUUGAAUACUUGUAAUCUUGAUGAAUCCACCUAUGCCUAAGAAGUGCAUGUAAGGUGUUUGUGAAAAUACCUAAGAGACUAGAGAUUUUGUUUUUAUAACAUAAUAGGUCCAAAAUUAAUUGAUUAUGAAUAUAUGAUGAUUUAAAUUGUUAAGCCUUGAUUUAUACUAUUAUUCCAUUAUUUCCUUGUUAUGACUUGAUAAUUGUUAUUGGGAAUUAUAUAUCCCUACUAUUGAUUGAUAUGUCCAAUAUUUUCUAAAUGUUAGUUGGA
Molecule: long non-coding RNA, 593 nt
Filed under: Capsicum annuum
Lineage: Eukaryota; Viridiplantae; Streptophyta; Magnoliopsida; Solanales; Solanaceae
Description: long non-coding RNA (CANN_LNC012685)
Source: RNAcentral